Non-coding RNA from Vigna radiata var. radiata (mung bean), 116 nucleotides. NCBI's taxonomy places the organism in Eukaryota, Viridiplantae, Streptophyta, Magnoliopsida, Fabales, Fabaceae. The record is from Rfam.
AGCCAUGAGCUAAACUCAUAGCGAAUUAUUCUUUCGCCUUUUACUAAAGAAUACCGUGUGUUUCUCUCAUUAAGUGGCCUACACCUAUUUUUGGAAGAGUCCCUCUUUGAGGGCUC